CCAGUGAGGGGCUUUUUUUCAAUGAUUUUGAUCAAGCAUAGUGAAAGAUUUUGAUUCGCGGCCUCGGACAGCGUGUCGACAUCCAUCUUAGUCAAAUUUGAAUACCAUCAAAUUUAAUCUAUUUGAUCUCUAUGGAGCCAAAUUGUAUCUUAAUCUGAUCUUGAUAAAUAAAAUUAUUUGAUCAAAAUAACCUCUGAUCAUGG
This 203-nucleotide long non-coding RNA is filed under the name Elaeis guineensis (African oil palm). Its description in RNAcentral is "long non-coding RNA (EGUI_LNC049704)". The record is from RNAcentral. Lineage: Eukaryota; Viridiplantae; Streptophyta; Magnoliopsida; Arecales; Arecaceae.